GGCUAAGCCGAAAAACAAAUCCUCAGGUUCAAGAUGGAAACCAACAAGUCACUUUUCACUUCCCACCCCACUGUCCCAAAUGUCUCCUUUUGGGGAGCACGACUUUCGGGGUAACACGAGAUACCCACCCUCUCAUCUAACGAACACUAAAGCAGCGUUCCGGUCGGCUGGGGAAUGGAACCAGUAUCCCGGCGUCCUCUCGAUUCCCGUAACGACGUAGGGGGGAGUGGUGAGGUGACGUGGCCGCUCUGGCCUGCGGCCGGCAUCUCUAUAGUACCGACAGGACGGUGGAGAGGGUAUUAGGGGGCGGGGCCGGGGCCGCAGUUCGCGUCGCAGGCUUGCUUCUGCGGGCGGAGCAGAUGGUGGUUGCCUUUGGUCCUCAGCGAGAAACGGACUGUAUGGACGCCGCGAAACUGCGUCCUGAGGUGCGAGGCCGGAAGCGGGGACCACUUGAACCUGAAAGUCUAGAAGAUCCAGGUUCCCGGUGGGGAAGGCGUGCCGGGGCGUCAGGCGCACGGGACCCGGGAGCAGAUCACUUUAAACUUGGAUCAUCAUUUAAAUACUUUAAGUGAUCUUGUUUUAUUUUGCUCAUGACACUUUAUUAGCUACCUGGUCAUUUUUGUGUCUGAAUUCAUCAAGUAAAAUACACGGAUGACUGGGAAUGUACACAGGAACGAGCUGUCUGUUUUGUGAUGGCGCUUAGCAUGUGCUGACGUACUGCUCUGCGAUGGCAUCGGAGACUGAGAAGUCUCAUGCUUUACUCCAGUCGUGCAGCACUGAAUCUCUUCUUUCCAGCCUUGGUCUGGGCUUAUUCUGCACAGUAGCUGACAGACUUCUUCAGUUUCCCAUAAUUCAACAAAAUGCCUGGCUUCGUGCACUUUCAGAUAACUCAGUACACUGCGUGAUCGGCAUGUGGUCAUGGGCAGUAGUCAUUGGAAUCAGGAAGAAGACUGACUUUGGAGAAAUCAUUUUAGCUGGGUUUUUAGCCUCUGUUAUUGAUAUAGACCACUUUUUGCUAUCUGGAUCCCUGUCUUUAAAGGCUGCUCUGAGUCUUCCACGACGCCCUUUCCUUCACUGUUCUACUGUGAUCCCCACUGUGGUUCUGACCCUAAAGUUUACAAUGCACUUUUUCAAGCUCAAAGACUCAUGGUGCUUUCUUCCCUGGAUGUUAUUUAUAUCCUGGACCUCACACCACAUCCGAGAUGGAAUUCGCCAUGGCUUGUGGAUAUGCCCAUUUGGAAAAACUUCUCCUUUGCCAUUUUGGCUUUAUGUAAUAAUCACAUCAUCUCUACCUCACAUCUGUUCACUCGUUAUGUAUUUCACAGGGACCAGACAAAUGAUGUCUUCAAAACAUGGAAUUCAUAUUGAUGUGUGAGAUAACCACAUGGCAGUCUUUGAGAACCACUGGUUGAGACAAUGACAACCAACAUUAAAGUGAAUUUAAAACACAUAUUAGGACAGAAUCUCAGAACUGCACGGCCUGCUCACAGGUCAAUGCUGCCUCUUGGCACAGACAGAAACCUCCAGGGAUUCAGCUAAAAGGCACGCUGCCCUUUGAACACCUGGAAAUGGACUUCACUGAAAUGAAACCUCACCGACACUACCAUUACCUGCUGGUCAUGGUAUGUACAUUCUCAGGAUGGGUAGAAGCUUUUCCUACCCGGACUGAAAGAGCAUCAAAAGUAGCCUGGUGCCUGCUUAGGGAGAUAGUUCCCAGGUUUGGAUUUCCUACCAGCAUUGGGUCAGACAAUUGCCUGGCUUUCAUAGCUGAUUUAGUUUAACAAGUAAGCAAAACAUUAAACAUCAAGUGGAAAUUACAUCCAGCAUAUAGGCCCCAGAGUUCUGGGAUCGCGGAAGGAACCAACCGGACACGUGAAGAGACUCUCCAGGUGGAUCUUAGAGACUGACUGCUCCUGGGUGGAUUUGUUUCCGACGGCGCUGCUCAGACUCAGGAUGACCCCACGGUCCCACAGCUCUUCUCUGUACAAAAUUGUGUAUGGGAGGCCCCCUCCCAUAAUAAAACAGAUGUCAACAAAUCUGCCUCAGGUAAGGGGAGGUGAGAUUUCACAGCAGAUAGAACAACUGGGUAAGGUUAGUAAUAAAUCAGGUAACUAAGUUUGUACAAGAAAGGGUGCCAUUCCCCUUGGGAAACAGAUUUAUGAAUGUGUGCCUGGGGAUCAGGUGUGGUCAAGGACUGGAAACACGACUCCUUGGCCCCACGUUGGAAGGGUCCGUAUACUGCUGUUCUAACCAGCCUGACUGCAGGUGUCACUCCCUGGAUUCACUGCAUGAGGGUGAAGAGCUCAUACCAUGCAGACCUGGAGGGCGCCCAGGGGACUACACAAAAGGACCCCACUGAUCCCCGUGAAACCAAGAUCAUCUUAAAGAAGAAAAAGGGAUGAAGCUCUACAAUCAACUGCUGCUAAAGGACUUGCUGGUAUCAUCCUGAGACUAACCAUAGUUUCAGAACAGAGAGGGACCUGUGCUAUAAUUAGAAUUGAAUGUUGUGUAUAUAUUCCUGAUUUAUCUGGCUAUAUAUCAGCCACCCUGGAUGACAUGAAAGGUCAGGUAAAAGUUAUGUCUGAUGAUAAUCUUCCUGUUUGGACUUUGGUCCUAUCUUGGGUGAAGGGUGAUUGGUGGAAAACUAUAUUUACCAUUGUUAUAGUUGCCUUGAUAGUUCUGCUUUGUGGACCCUUUAUUUUGCAAUGUAUUAUGAACUUUGUAACCCAAAGGUUGAUGUCGUUCUCUCAAAUUGGAGGUCAGAGAGUCAGGGUGCAAUAUAUCCCUAUGAAUGAUGCUCAUACUAUGAGUUAAGAGCAUCAAGAGGUAGGAAUGAAGGAGGAAACAGACAGAACAGGCUCCAUCUUGAAAGCAGGACUCCAUCUCGGGCUGGACUUUGAUCUAGAUGCCCAGGAUCUAUGGAAACGACAUACCAACUGGAAAACCAGGCCCCCUGGAUGGAAGAGCCCCAGGGCUCAUACCUAGACUCUCUGUUGCCUAAAAGAAUACCCUAAUUGUCUGUGUAACUGAAUAGAAUCAUAAAUUCUAUUAUGCUUAUUGGGAUAUGACCACAGGCCUGUUGAUAAUUGUCCACUGUUAACUACCUAGGCUUAAGGCAUAUGAAUCACAGUUUAACUUUGAUUGUAUCUUUCUUUUCCUUUGUUCAGACUAGUUUCAGGGAAUUUGUGGAGGUGGGUUUGGGCACAUACACUUAGGGUAUAUAAGGUUUUCAGAAAAACUGGUCAGGGUCCUUGGCUAAGAGGAGACUCUGCCUUGGGCCCGCCGGUGUAAUAAACUGCACUCCACUAUCUGCAUUGUCCUUCUGAGUGAGUUUGUUUCCCGGAACGCAUGACUACAACAAUGGUGGCCUGCGAUCAGUGGUCUUUGUUGUUACUACAACUCCCUGAAUGCUCAGAUGAUGGUUAGCAUUUUUUAGCAGCAAAGUAUUUUAAAAUUAAGGUAUGUACAUUGUUUUUCUAGAUAUAAUGCUAUUGCACACAUAGCAGACUGUAGUAUAAACAUAACUUUUAUAUGCACCAGGAAACCAAAGAAUUUGCUUGACUCACUUUAUUGUUAUAUUUGCUCUAUUGUAGAGUCUGGAACCAAACUCUCAGUAUCUCCAAGGUAUGCCUGUGCAUUUUUGUUGAUUGAAUGGUUAUAUCAAUUUUACCUUCCACUAUCUUCUUAGAAGAUAGGCAUUGACAUGUCUUGGCUGUAACUCAAGGUUCUUUCCUGAAAUGUCAACCAAAAAAAAAGGAAAAUAUAAUUAAAAGUUUCAAAACCAGCACCAAAGACCUGAUGGGAGCUUAAAAUUUCAUCUGUUCUCCACCCUAAGGAAGACAUAAGGGGAAAGGUGAUCUAGGAGUCCAAAUACAGGAAAAAGAAAGAUGGACAUUACUUUGAUGUUUUUAUUAUUUAAAAUUGUGGGGUCUUUUUUGAUGCUUUUAAAUAAUUGCUAAAUUAUUGGGGUGGUUUGGUUACAAGCUAGCUAUGAGACAGAGGGAUACAUUAAUCUCCCUUUUAGAGGCAGCUGACAGCAAUCUCUCAGGUUUUCAUGCUCUUCCGGAACCUUCCCACCUUCCAUUGAGAGAGACAGUCUGUUUCUCCUUCUUUCAUCCUGUGUAGAACUUCGUGGCUGCCCCAAUUAAUGGAAUGCAGUGAAAAUGAGCCUGCAUACAUUUCCAAGACAAGUCAUAAAAGGCUAUACAGCUUCCAUCCAGUUCAGUCUCUCACUCAUGGGAUACUUGCCUUGGAAGCCAGCGCCCAGACUGUGGGAAAGACAAGACAGUCACGUGGAGAGGCCCAUGCAGACAGCAACCGGGUCCCCAGCUGACAGCCAGCCUCAACUGCCCUGUAACGGGAGUGAGCCCUCCAGAACAUUCAGGCUCCCAGCCUCCAAAUUACUCCAGAUUAUGCCAACUGGAGCAGAUGUCAGUUAUCCUCUUCCUCAAAUGCAGAUUCAGGAGCAAACAAAAUGCUGGGGUGUGCUUCUGUUUGUUUUGCAGCUCCAUACCGCCUAUAGGGAUCCUAAUUCCCCAACUAGGAAUCCGACCCAUGCCCCUUGCAGCUGGAAGCAUGAAUUCCACCAGGGAAUUCCCCAAUGCUGUGGUUGUUUAAGCCACCAGUGUUGGCAUAUUUGUUAUGCAGCCUCAACCCCAAAAUAUUUUUUAACACUGUAUUUGAAAAAUGUGAGACUUCCCGGGUGGCUCAGUGGUAAAGAAUCUGUCUGCCAAUGCAGGAGACACAGGUUCGAUCCCUGAGUUGAAAAUGGCAGCUCACUCCAGUAUUCUUGCCUGGAAAAUCCCAUGGACAGAAGAGCCUGGUGGGCUACAGUUGAUGGGGUUGCAAAGAGUUGGACAAGAUUGAGUGACUAAAUAACAACAUUUGAAAAAUAUAUACAUGGUGUAGUAAGGAACACAGAACUCU
RNA transcript from Dama dama (fallow deer), 4926 nucleotides. It is a transcript of the gene named transmembrane protein 267, with no coding region annotated. The transcript is spliced from 5 exons. The record is from RefSeq and is a predicted model, not a curated record. Lineage: Eukaryota; Metazoa; Chordata; Mammalia; Artiodactyla; Cervidae.